This 323-nucleotide long non-coding RNA is filed under the name Mytilus galloprovincialis (Mediterranean mussel). The record is from RNAcentral. Lineage: Eukaryota; Metazoa; Mollusca; Bivalvia; Mytilida; Mytilidae.
GAAAAUUCAAAAUUUAGAACAUGACUUUGACCUUGACCUUUGACCUUCACCUCAAUUUCCUUCAAUUGGACCGAGGACUUCAUAUCAAAAGACUGUAGAACACUACGACUUAUAACGUAUGAAUUUAUCCACCAAAUCGCCUAACUUAAAUUUUCAAAGGGAAAUAUAGUGAUAACAAGAAAAAGGGGACGCGGGGAGAUAACUCCUAUAAGAAUGAGUGUUCGGUCACACAGGGUGAGUUUUGAAACCCCCAUUUCUGUACAACAAUAUUGGCCAAAAAAUCCAUUCGAUAUAUUGUAGGACAAAAAAGCAUCGCAGACGGC